This 83-nucleotide transfer RNA is filed under the name Dehalococcoidia bacterium. RNAcentral describes it as "tRNA-Leu". It matches the Rfam family "tRNA". From Rfam's summary of the family: Transfer RNA (tRNA) molecules are approximately 80 nucleotides in length. Their secondary structure includes four short double-helical elements and three loops (D, anti-codon, and T loops). Lineage: Bacteria; Bacillati; Chloroflexota; Dehalococcoidia. The record is from RNAcentral.
GCCGAGGUGGCGGAAUGGCAGACGCGACGGACUUAAAAUCCGUUGGGCUUCGGCCCGUGCGGGUUCAAAUCCCGCCCUCGGCA